GACAGAGGCCCCGAGCGUUAGGCGGAAUCACUGGGCUUAAAGCGUGUGUAGGCGGAUCGUUAAGUGUCUUGUGAAAUCCCACGGCUCACCCGUGGAACGGCUGGGCAUACUGGCGAUCUUGGGCCAACUAGGGGCAACUGGAACAAGCGGUGGAGCGGUGAAAUGCGUAGAUAUCGCUUGGAACGCCGAAGGUGAAAACAGGUUGCUGGGGUUGUGCCGACGCGUGAGACACGAAAGCCAGGGGAGCAAACGGG
This 254-nucleotide ribosomal RNA is filed under the name uncultured bacterium. RNAcentral's name for it is "partial 16S ribosomal RNA". It matches the Rfam family "Bacterial small subunit ribosomal RNA", at positions 524 to 776 of the family's 1533-position model. The record is from RNAcentral.